RNAcentral lists this long non-coding RNA (458 nucleotides) under Calidris pygmaea (Spoon-billed sandpiper). Its description in RNAcentral is "lncRNA (ENSCPGG00000011994.1)". Lineage: Eukaryota; Metazoa; Chordata; Aves; Charadriiformes; Scolopacidae. The record is from RNAcentral.
ACAGCUGAACAAGUCUACUCCUUUCUUUUUUUGUUUCAGCUUACUCCUUAUAACCUUCAUACUUCCGUUCCUUGCUUGCCUACAGGUUUGACUUCUUAUGCUUCCUGUAGGAAAAGCCUUUUUUCAGGUAGACUUCUUAUAAGAGUCAGAAGUCGAAGUCCAGUUACUGCUGCAGUUUUACAACAGUGUUUGGAAUGUUUGCAGCCAUAUAAGCAACGAGUUUCUUCUUGGUGAGUAUAAGCAUGGAUCCUUGGUUUUCAUAACUGUAGCUUUUCUUCAAGCUUUUGAAAUUUUGCUUUAAAAUUCAUGUUUUUCUUAAUUCCUGCAGAGACACUGUGCAUAGUAUUUAUCUAAAUCAUUAAUUAAAUCAUUAAAUCAUUAUAUUCUUAAAACAAAAAACAUGUGUUUUCAGUUGGAGGAAAAAAAUGGCAAUUUCAUUGAAGUAGAAUUUUUUUGAU